This 2920-nucleotide ribosomal RNA is filed under the name Bacillus sp. TK-2. Its description in RNAcentral is "23S ribosomal RNA". It matches the Rfam family "Bacterial large subunit ribosomal RNA". Lineage: Bacteria; Bacillati; Bacillota; Bacilli; Caryophanales; Bacillaceae. The record is from RNAcentral.
GGUUAAGUUAGAAAGGGCGCACGGUGGAUGCCUUGACACUAGGAGUCGAUGAAGGACGGGACUAACGCCGAUAUGCUUCGGGGAGCUGUAAGUAAGCUUUGAUCCGAAGAUUUCCGAAUGGGGAAACCCACCAUACGUAAUGGUAUGGUAUCCUUAUCUGAAUACAUAGGGUAAGGAAGACAGACCCAGGGAACUGAAACAUCUAAGUACCUGGAGGAAGAGAAAGCAAAUGCGAUUUCCUGAGUAGCGGCGAGCGAAACGGAACAUAGCCCAAACCAAGAGGCUUGCCUCUUGGGGUUGUAGGACAUUCUAUACGGAGUUACAAAGGAACGAGGUAGACGAAGCGACCUGGAAAGGUCCGUCGUAGAGGGUAACAACCCCGUAGUCGAAACUUCGUUCUCUCUUGAAUGUAUCCUGAGUACGGCGGAACACGUGAAAUUCCGUCGGAAUCUGGGAGGACCAUCUCCCAAGGCUAAAUACUCCCUAGUGAUCGAUAGUGAACCAGUACCGUGAGGGAAAGGUGAAAAGCACCCCGGAAGGGGAGUGAAAGAGAUCCUGAAACCGUGUGCCUACAAAUAGUCAGAGCCCGUUAACGGGUGAUGGCGUGCCUUUUGUAGAAUGAACCGGCGAGUUACGAUCCCGUGCGAGGUUAAGCUGAAGAGGCGGAGCCGCAGCGAAAGCGAGUCUGAAUAGGGCGUUUAGUACGUGGUCGUAGACCCGAAACCAGGUGAUCUACCCAUGUCCAGGGUGAAGUUCAGGUAACACUGAAUGGAGGCCCGAACCCACGCACGUUGAAAAGUGCGGGGAUGAGGUGUGGGUAGCGGAGAAAUUCCAAUCGAACCUGGAGAUAGCUGGUUCUCCCCGAAAUAGCUUUAGGGCUAGCCUUAAGUGUAAGAGUCUUGGAGGUAGAGCACUGAUUGGACUAGGGGUCCUCAUCGGAUUACCGAAUUCAGUCAAACUCCGAAUGCCAAUGACUUAUCCUUAGGAGUCAGACUGCGAGUGAUAAGAUCCGUAGUCAAAAGGGAAACAGCCCAGACCGCCAGCUAAGGUCCCAAAGUGUGUAUUAAGUGGAAAAGGAUGUGGAGUUGCUUAGACAACUAGGAUGUUGGCUUAGAAGCAGCCACCAUUUAAAGAGUGCGUAAUAGCUCACUAGUCGAGUGACUCUGCGCCGAAAAUGUACCGGGGCUAAAUACACCACCGAAGCUGCGGAUUGAUACCAAUGGUAUCAGUGGUAGGGGAGCGUUCUAAGGACAGUGAAGUCAGACCGUAAGGACUGGUGGAGUGCUUAGAAGUGAGAAUGCCGGUAUGAGUAGCGAAAGACGGGUGAGAAUCCCGUCCACCGAAUGCCUAAGGUUUCCUGAGGAAGGCUCGUCCGCUCAGGGUUAGUCAGGACCUAAGCCGAGGCCGACAGGCGUAGGCGAUGGACAACAGGUUGAUAUUCCUGUACCACCUCUUUAUCGUUUGAGCAAUGGAGGGACGCAGAAGGAUAGAAGAAGCGUGCGAUUGGUUGUGCACGUCCAAGCAGUUAGGCUGAUAAGUAGGCAAAUCCGCUUAUCAUAAAGGCUGAGCUGUGAUGGGGAAGCUCCUUAUGGAGCGAAGUCUUUGAUUCCCCGCUGCCAAGAAAAGCUUCUAGCGAGAUAAAAGGUGCCUGUACCGCAAACCGACACAGGUAGGCGAGGAGAGAAUCCUAAGGUGUGCGAGAGAACUCUGGUUAAGGAACUCGGCAAAAUGACCCCGUAACUUCGGGAGAAGGGGUGCUUUCUUAACGGAAAGCCGCAGUGAAUAGGCCCAAGCGACUGUUUAGCAAAAACACAGCUCUCUGCGAAGCCGUAAGGCGAAGUAUAGGGGGUGACACCUGCCCGGUGCUGGAAGGUUAAGGAGAGGGUUAGCAUAAGCGAAGCUCUGAACUGAAGCCCCAGUAAACGGCGGCCGUAACUAUAACGGUCCUAAGGUAGCGAAAUUCCUUGUCGGGUAAGUUCCGACCCGCACGAAAGGUGUAACGAUUUGGGCACUGUCUCAACCAGAGACUCGGUGAAAUUAUAGUACCUGUGAAGAUGCAGGUUACCCGCGACAGGACGGAAAGACCCCGUGGAGCUUUACUGUAGCCUGAUAUUGAAUUUUGGUACAGUUUGUACAGGAUAGGCGGGAGCCAUUGAAACCGGAGCGCUAGCUUCGGUGGAGGCGCUGGUGGGAUACCGCCCUGACUGUAUUGAAAUUCUAACCUACGGGUCUUAUCGACCCGGGAGACAGUGUCAGGUGGGCAGUUUGACUGGGGCGGUCGCCUCCUAAAGUGUAACGGAGGCGCCCAAAGGUUCCCUCAGAAUGGUUGGAAAUCAUUCGUAGAGUGCAAAGGCAUAAGGGAGCUUGACUGCGAGACCUACAAGUCGAGCAGGGACGAAAGUCGGGCUUAGUGAUCCGGUGGUUCCGCAUGGAAGGGCCAUCGCUCAACGGAUAAAAGCUACCCCGGGGAUAACAGGCUUUCUCCCCCAAGAGUCCACAUCGACGGGGAGGUUUGGCACCUCGAUGUCGGCUCAUCGCAUCCUGGGGCUGUAGUCGGUCCCAAGGGUUGGGCUGUUCGCCCAUUAAAGCGGUACGCGAGCUGGGUUCAGAACGUCGUGAGACAGUUCGGUCCCUAUCCGUCGUGGGCGUAGGAAAUUUGAGAGGAGCUGUCCUUAGUACGAGAGGACCGGGAUGGACGCACCGCUGGUGUACCAGUUGUUCUGCCAAGGGCAUAGCUGGGUAGCUAUGUGCGGAAGGGAUAAGUGCUGAAAGCAUCUAAGCAUGAAGCCCCCCUCAAGAUGAGAUUUCCCAUAGCGUAAGCUAGUAAGAUCCCUGAAAGAUGAUCAGGUUGAUAGGUUCGAGGUGGAAGCAUGGUGACAUGUGGAGCUGACGAAUACUAAUAGAUCGAGGACUUAACCAU